UGAGAAUGUACUUUAGUGGGUAGAGUACUUGCCUACCAUGCAUGAGGCCCUGGGUUUGAUUCCCAGCACUUCAA
RNAcentral lists this transfer RNA (74 nucleotides) under Marmota monax (woodchuck). RNAcentral's name for it is "tRNA.Gly". It matches the Rfam family "tRNA". Rfam says of the family: Transfer RNA (tRNA) molecules are approximately 80 nucleotides in length. Their secondary structure includes four short double-helical elements and three loops (D, anti-codon, and T loops). Lineage: Eukaryota; Metazoa; Chordata; Mammalia; Rodentia; Sciuridae. The record is from RNAcentral.